CUUCGCUGACAUAAAUGAAAGCCU
RNAcentral lists this non-coding RNA (24 nucleotides) under Arabidopsis thaliana (thale cress). Lineage: Eukaryota; Viridiplantae; Streptophyta; Magnoliopsida; Brassicales; Brassicaceae. The record is from RNAcentral.